ACAUAACUCAGUGCCUAAACGCAGCAGCAGCAGCAAUCAGAACAAGAAUAAGAAGAUGGAAACACUCGAGGCAGAUGAUUGAAGUCAUUUGGUGUGUAUAUCAAAGGAGAAAAGGACCCAGGCAAAGAAAACCAUACUAAAGGACCCGCAGAAUUCUCUAGAAUGGGUGGCAUUUUCCAUCACCAGAGCCAUCUCUCAGUCUCAGGAAAUGAGUGCCAUCAGCCAAAGGCAGCCUCCUAUCUCUUGCCUUUGUCUGUGCAGAGCUUCCUAGCUCACCCUGCAGCCCGCUCUCCCGGCACCCUCCACAGUCCUGAGGAGCAGCUUCGUUUAUCUUUCAGUUAUGCUUCUGGGGUCAGAGCCA
Molecule: long non-coding RNA, 361 nt
Organism: Cervus elaphus (red deer)
Lineage: Eukaryota; Metazoa; Chordata; Mammalia; Artiodactyla; Cervidae
Exons: 3
Source: RefSeq, a predicted model, not a curated record